ACCGGGUGUGGUGGCUCACGCCUGUAAUCCUAGCACUUUGGGAGGCCGGGGUGGGUGGAUCACCUGAGGUCAGGAGUUCAAAACCAGCCUGGCCAUCAUGGUGAAACCCCAUCUUUAUGUUUUUAUAAAUAAAUAAAUAAAAAGAUGGGGUUUCAUCCUGAUGGCCAGGCUGGUUUUGAACUCCUGACCUCAGGUGAUCCACCCACCCCGG
RNAcentral lists this signal recognition particle RNA (211 nucleotides) under Callithrix jacchus (white-tufted-ear marmoset). Its description in RNAcentral is "Metazoan signal recognition particle RNA (ENSCJAG00000073700.1)". It matches the Rfam family "Metazoan signal recognition particle RNA". Rfam says of the family: The signal recognition particle (SRP) is a universally conserved ribonucleoprotein. It is involved in the co-translational targeting of proteins to membranes. Lineage: Eukaryota; Metazoa; Chordata; Mammalia; Primates; Cebidae. The record is from Rfam by way of RNAcentral.